GGUGCUGUGGCUCAGUGGGAGUGUAUCUGCUUUGCAUGCAGAAGGUCCCAGGUUCAAUUCCCGGCAUUUCCA
RNAcentral lists this transfer RNA (72 nucleotides) under Sphaerodactylus townsendi. Its description in RNAcentral is "tRNA-Ala". It matches the Rfam family "tRNA". From Rfam's summary of the family: Transfer RNA (tRNA) molecules are approximately 80 nucleotides in length. Their secondary structure includes four short double-helical elements and three loops (D, anti-codon, and T loops). Lineage: Eukaryota; Metazoa; Chordata; Lepidosauria; Squamata; Sphaerodactylidae. The record is from RNAcentral.